GAGCCCAUGGCUCAAUGGUUGAGCGUUGGACUCAAAAACCAAAGGUCGCGGGUUCGAAUCCCAGGUGUGCCA
RNAcentral lists this transfer RNA (72 nucleotides) under Schistocephalus solidus. It matches the Rfam family "tRNA". From Rfam's summary of the family: Transfer RNA (tRNA) molecules are approximately 80 nucleotides in length. Their secondary structure includes four short double-helical elements and three loops (D, anti-codon, and T loops). The record is from Rfam by way of RNAcentral. Lineage: Eukaryota; Metazoa; Platyhelminthes; Cestoda; Diphyllobothriidea; Diphyllobothriidae.